GAUCAGCAAAUGCUGGGGCAUAUGUUGGAUAUGCGACGGAACUCCCGGCAAAACAGCUUGCAAAGGUGAUUCCCUUUUC
This 79-nucleotide non-coding RNA is filed under the name unclassified sequences. Its description in RNAcentral is "HTH-XRE RNA". It matches the Rfam family "HTH-XRE RNA". The record is from RNAcentral.